RNAcentral lists this unclassified non-coding RNA (338 nucleotides) under Hevea brasiliensis (rubber tree). The record is from RNAcentral. Lineage: Eukaryota; Viridiplantae; Streptophyta; Magnoliopsida; Malpighiales; Euphorbiaceae.
GUUUCUUCUUCAGCUAAUGGAUCGAACUGUGGUUCACUACCACAAGGAGAGGAUGAAGCUGAGGGAGUGAAAAGUAAUCCUGGACAACAUGAAGAUGAACAUCUCCUACAUUCAAAGAAAAAAUCUGUAGAUUUGGAUGAGAAGCAAGUGGUGAAAUCAUUAUCUGAUUUGAAGGGAAGUCCAUCUCCCUCUUCAACUGAUUUGUCUUCUGACUUGGCAUGGCUCUCAAGGAAAAUAGGUGGUAGUGGUAGCAAUAAAUUCUCAACCUCAAGUGAGAAUGAAAUAACUGAAAACUCUCAGAAUCCGCGGGUGAUGACCAAACAUGUUGAACCAGAAAG